This 253-nucleotide ribosomal RNA is filed under the name uncultured bacterium. Its description in RNAcentral is "partial 16S ribosomal RNA". It matches the Rfam family "Bacterial small subunit ribosomal RNA", at positions 524 to 776 of the family's 1533-position model. The record is from RNAcentral.
GACGAACCGAGCGAACGUUGUUCGGAAUCACUGGGCUUAAAGGGCGCGUAGGCGGGCUGUCAAGUCUGGGGUGAAAUCCCGCGGCUCAACCGCGGAACUGCCUCAGAUACUGACGGCCUCGAGGGAGGUAGGGGCGAGCGGAACUAAUGGUGGAGCGGUGAAAUGCGUUGAUAUCAUUAGGAACUCCGGUGGCGAAGGCGGCUCGCUGGACCUUUUCUGACGCUGAGGCGCGAAAGCUAGGGGAGCAAACGGG